GAUGAAGGACUUACGCCUCAAUACUCAACUUCAAGUACCAGUCGAGCCAGCAGCGGUAAUGGAUUCACCUUCAGCAACACUGUCACCGUCUCAAAAACUUCCAGGGACAUGAACGCCACCAGCAGCAACAGCACCAUCAUGCCAUCAAUGAACGUGACAGAUGUUGAAACGCCAACCCAAAGUGGUGCAACUGAGUUGGUGACAACCAGCAAGCAGAUGACCACACCUAAACCCAUCGUUUCCAAUGGCACCGAAGGAAGGAACGACGACAAGAGGACAACCGUUAAACCAAACCCUGCAGAAAGCGACAGCACUGGUAUCAUCAUCCUCGUCA
Salarias fasciatus (jewelled blenny) is the source of this 334-nucleotide long non-coding RNA. RefSeq lists it as uncharacterized. The transcript has 4 exons. The record is from RefSeq and is a predicted model, not a curated record. Lineage: Eukaryota; Metazoa; Chordata; Actinopteri; Blenniiformes; Blenniidae.